UAAGCUCAAACAGGGGAAGAAAAUAUUUGUCAUCGGUUAGGAUGAACAUAUCAAGGAUAUACUUCCUGGAGGAUCAAAAAAAUGAAUCCGCUGGGGACUCCACUAGAUAAAAUAUGGGUACUUUUGCCGGGUAUCGGACAAGAAGUAGCAAACUGCAAACUAAGAAGAAUAUUACCAUUUACUGGGUAAUAAACUCUUAGGGGACCCAAAGUAUCUAUCUAGGUAAGAGCUAG
This 233-nucleotide long non-coding RNA is filed under the name Lathyrus oleraceus (garden pea). RNAcentral describes it as "Pisum sativum (pea) long non-coding RNA (PSAT_LNC023616)". The record is from RNAcentral. Lineage: Eukaryota; Viridiplantae; Streptophyta; Magnoliopsida; Fabales; Fabaceae.